RNAcentral lists this ribosomal RNA (1432 nucleotides) under uncultured organism. Its description in RNAcentral is "SSU rRNA". It matches the Rfam family "Bacterial small subunit ribosomal RNA". The record is from RNAcentral.
CACAUGCAAGUCGAGGGGCAGCAUGGUCUUAGCUUGCUAAGGCCGAUGGCGACCGGCGCACGGGUGAGUAACACGUAUCCAACCUGCCGUCUACUCUUGGACAGCCUUCUGAAAGGAAGAUUAAUACAAGAUGGCAUCAUGAGUCCGCAUGUUCACAUGAUUAAAGGUAUUCCGGUAGACGAUGGGGAUGCGUUCCAUUAGAUAGUAGGCGGGGUAACGGCCCACCUAGUCUUCGAUGGAUAGGGGUUCUGAGAGGAAGGUCCCCCACAUUGGAACUGAGACACGGUCCAAACUCCUACGGGAGGCAGCAGUGAGGAAUAUUGGUCAAUGGGCGAGAGCCUGAACCAGCCAAGUAGCGUGAAGGAUGACUGCCCUAUGGGUUGUAAACUUCUUUUAUAAAGGAAUAAAGUCGGGUAUGCAUACCCGUUUGCAUGUACUUUAUGAAUAAGGAUCGGCUAACUCCGUGCCAGCAGCCGCGGUAAUACGGAGGAUCCGAGCGUUAUCCGGAUUUAUUGGGUUUAAAGGGAGCGUAGAUGGAUGUUUAAGUCAGUUGUGAAAGUUUGCGGCUCAACCGUAAAAUUGCAGUUGAUACUGGACAUCUUGAGUGCAGUUGAGGCAGGCGGAAUUCGUGGUGUAGCGGUGAAAUGCUUAGAUAUCACGAAGAACUCCGAUUGCGAAGGCAGCCUGCUAAGCUGCAACUGACAUUGAGGCUCGAAAGUGUGGGUAUCAAACAGGAUUAGAUACCCUGGUAGUCCACACGGUAAACGAUGAAUACUCGCUGUUUGCGAUAUACAGCAAGCGGCCAAGCGAAAGCGUUAAGUAUUCCACCUGGGGAGUACGCCGGCAACGGUGAAACUCAAAGGAAUUGACGGGGGCCCGCACAAGCGGAGGAACAUGUGGUUUAAUUCGAUGAUACGCGAGGAACCUUACCCGGGCUUAAAUUGCAGAUGAAUUACGGUGAAAGCCGUAAGCCGCAAGGCAUCUGUGAAGGUGCUGCAUGGUUGUCGUCAGCUCGUGCCGUGAGGUGUCGGCUUAAGUGCCAUAACGAGCGCAACCCUUGUUGUCAGUUACUAACAGGUUCCGCUGAGGACUCUGACAAGACUGCCAUCGUAAGAUGUGAGGAAGGUGGGGAUGACGUCAAAUCAGCACGGCCCUUACGUCCGGGGCUACACACGUGUUACAAUGGGGGGUACAGAGGGCCGCUACCACGCGAGUGGAUGCCAAUCCCCAAAACCUCUCUCAGUUCGGACUGGAGUCUGCAACCCGACUCCACGAAGCUGGAUUCGCUAGUAAUCGCGCAUCAGCCACGGCGCGGUGAAUACGUUCCCGGGCCUUGUACACACCGCCCGUCAAGCCAUGGGAGCCGGGGGUACCUGAAGUGCGUAACCGCGAGGAGCGCCCUAGGGUAAAACUGGUGACUGGGGCUAAGUAG